Long non-coding RNA from Mirounga angustirostris (Northern elephant seal), 445 nucleotides. RefSeq lists it as uncharacterized. The record is from RefSeq and is a predicted model, not a curated record. The transcript has 3 exons. NCBI's taxonomy places the organism in Eukaryota, Metazoa, Chordata, Mammalia, Carnivora, Phocidae.
CGCUUGUUGGCCUUGGACGUUAUCGCGUACGUGCAGAGACGGAUUUGAUGUGCACCUUUCUGGGGAGAGAGACACAGCGAGAGAGGGAACACAAGCAGGCGGAGUGGGAGAGGGAGAAGCAGGCUUCCCGCCGAGCAGGGAGCCCGAUGCAGGGGCUUGAUCCCAGGACCCUCGGAUCAUGACCUGAGCUAAAGGCAGACGCUUAACCACUGAGCCAUCCAGUCAAAAUAAUGAAGAAGAGGAGGAAGACAGGCCGAUGCUAGAAAUCUGAAAUCCACUCCUCCUCCUCCCCAAGUACAGGCACCAGAACCGAUGCCCAACCCACUGGCUUCCGGAGGGCUGAAAAGCCACCACAGACAAAGCCUAUUAAGCAGAAGGAGAUGAAGAAAGGGGCGGAGGCGGAGGCGGAGGCGGAGGCGGAGGCGGAGGCGGAGGCGGAGGCGGA